UACGGAGGGUGCAAGCGUUAAUCGGAAUUACUGGGCGUAAAGCGCACGCAGGUGGCUGAGUCAGUCGAUUGUGAAAGCCCUGGGCUUAACCUGGGAAUUGCAGUCGAUACUACUCAGCUAGAGUAUGGGAGAGGGCAGUGGAAUUCCCGGUGUAGCGGUGAAAUGCGCAGAUAUCGGGAAGAACACCCGUGGCGAAGGCGGCUCACUGGCCCGGCACUGACGCUGAGGCGCGAAAGCGUGGGGAGCAAACAGG
RNAcentral lists this ribosomal RNA (253 nucleotides) under uncultured bacterium. Its description in RNAcentral is "partial 16S ribosomal RNA". It matches the Rfam family "Bacterial small subunit ribosomal RNA", at positions 524 to 776 of the family's 1533-position model. The record is from RNAcentral.